AGAGUUUGAUCCUGGCUCAGAAUCAACGCUGGCGGCGUGCCUCAGACAUGCAAGUCGAACGCGAAAGUCCCUUUCGGGGGACAAGUAGAGUGGCGCACGGGUGAGUAACACGUAGGUAAUCUACCUUCGGAUGGGGAAUAACAACCGGAAACGGUUGCUAAUACCGCAUAAUGCAGCGGCACCUAAUGGUGACAGUUGUUAAAGCGGGGGAUCGAAAGACCUCGCGUCUGAAGAGGAGCCUGCGGCGGAUUAGCUAGUUGGUAAGGUAAUGGCUUACCAAGGCGACGAUCCGUAGCCGGCCUGAGAGGGCGGUCGGCCACACUGACACUGACAUACGGGUCAGACUCCUACGGGAAGCAGCAGUCGGGAAUUUUGGGCAAUGGGCGAAAGCCUGACCCAGCAACGCCGCGUGAAGGAUGA
Molecule: ribosomal RNA, 420 nt
Filed under: uncultured bacterium
Lineage: Bacteria
Description: bacterial SSU rRNA
Rfam family: Bacterial small subunit ribosomal RNA
Source: RNAcentral